CUCAGCCCCCCGGGUUCCUCAGCCCCACAGGCCACCAGGUUCCUCAGCCCCAUGGGCCACCGGGUUCCUGAGCUCCAUGGGCCACCAGGUUCCUCAGCCCCACCAGCCACCAUGUUCCUCAGCUCCUCAGCCCCACGGGUUCCUCAGCUCCAUGGGCCACCAGGUUCCUCAGCCCCACAGGCCACCAGGUUCCUCAGCCCCACGGGUUCCACCGGGUUCCUCAGCCCCACAGGUUCCUCAGCUCCUCAGCCCCACGGGCCACCAGGUUCCUCAGCUCCAUGGGUUCACCCCCCCGGGUUCCUCAGCGCCCCAGGGUCCACCGGGUUCCUCAGCCCCACGGGUUCCACUGGGUUCCUCAGCCCCAGGGGCCACCGGGUUCCUCAGCUCCUCAGCCCCACGGGUUCCUCAGCUCCAUGGGGCACCAGGUUCCUCAGCCCCACGGGUUCCUCAGCCCCACGGGCCACCAGGUUCCUGAGCUCCAUGGGUUCCUCAGCCCCAUGGGCCACUGGGUUCCUCAGCCCCACGGGUUCCACCAGGUUCCUCAGCCCCACGGGUUCCACCGGGUUCCUCAGCCCCACGGGUUCCACCAGGUUCCUCAGCCCCACCAGCCACCGGGUUCCUCAGCUCCUCAGCCCCCUGCGGGUUCCUCAGCUCCUCAGCCCCAUGGGCCACCAGGUUCCUCAGCCCCACGGGCUCCACCUGGUUCCUGAGCCCCACAAGCCACUGGGUUCCUCAGCUCCACAGAUUCCACCGGGUUCCUCAGCCCCACGGGCCACCAGGUUCCUGAGCUCCACGGGUUCCUCAGCCCCACGGGCCACCAGGUUCCUGAGCUCCACGGGUUCCUCAGCCCCACGGGCCACCAGGUUCCUGAGCUCCACGGGUUCCUCAGCCCCACGGGCCACUGGGUUCCUCAGCCCCACGGGUUCCACCAGGUUCCUCAGCCCCACGGGUUCCUCAGCCCCACAGGCCACCAGGUUCCUCAGCCCCACAGGCCACCAGGUUCCUCAGCUCCACAGGUUCCACCAUGGGGCUGCCGAACCAGAGGAAGAGCUUUCCCUUUUUCUGUGGGGCAGGGUUGAGGUGUCACCCAUCCCCUCUGUGUGUGUGUGA
RNAcentral lists this long non-coding RNA (1110 nucleotides) under Calidris pugnax (ruff). RNAcentral's name for it is "lncRNA (ENSCPUG00000000464.1)". Lineage: Eukaryota; Metazoa; Chordata; Aves; Charadriiformes; Scolopacidae. The record is from RNAcentral.